RNAcentral lists this long non-coding RNA (2331 nucleotides) under Pan troglodytes (chimpanzee). RNAcentral's name for it is "long non-coding RNA NONPTRT015662". The record is from RNAcentral. Lineage: Eukaryota; Metazoa; Chordata; Mammalia; Primates; Hominidae.
GGAUUACAGGCGUGAGCCACCAUGACCAGGCAUUCCUGAGGUUUUAAUAACCUGAUGUUUCUCUCCUGUUGGAGACAACCCUGAAGAUCAGUUUUUACCCCAGAGGACUGACCAACAAGAGGUCAAGGUGUGCUUGAAAAAGCUGGUGUAGGAGUUGGUUCAGGAAAGGUCAGGCUGUCCAAGCAUUCAGGAAUACCUGUGUGACUCUCCUUGUAAUUAGCACUCAGGUCCCAGAGAGCUACUCACUGCAUGUGUCUUUGACCUGCUGUUGAUUCAUCUCCUCUGCUAAGAAGGUGGGUGACGGCUGGGCUACUUACACCUAGGAGGGUGUUCCAGGCCAGGCCCCAGGGAGCCUAAAAUAAUCAAAAAGGUCAGAAUCUAAUUUGAAAAUAAUGUCUUCAAAGUAAAAUAUUGAGGGUGGCCACAAGGAGAAUAUAUUUAAGUUGACCUGAAUAUACAUUUCAAUUAACAACCGUUAAAAGUGGGUAUUUUUGAAAAAAACAACAAGGCAGUUUCUAAGUUGUUUACCAAUAAUUUACAUUGAAUUCAUAAGCUAUUGAUUGGCUACAUGUUUUUCUUUGUUUUACAAAUUCCCAGAAAGAGAAAUAAUGGGUGAGACAGCUAGUCCAAAAUGAAACUUUUUUAAGCAAUUGUCCCUGGGCACAGGUGUGGGGUGAGACUGAAGUCCCAUACUUUCAUUUCUGUGUGCUUGAUAAAUUUUGCAGCCCUCACAGACCUGAGACUGUUCUGAGAUAUUUUUCUUCUCUCACCUCCUUGUUCAGGACACAUGAACCAUUAACAAGAAAAAUAUUUAAAUAAGAAACUCACCAAGCCAGGAGAAUAAUGAAUGCCUGGAUGUGCCCUCUAGGAAUCUGGAUCUCUUCUCUUUUCCCCACCCUGCCCUCAACUCCCCUUACAUACAUACAACCUGGAUCACAAGACCCAAGAAAACCAUUCCACCAGCUGCUGAGAGAAGAGCCACAAAAGGACCCAGAACUUCUCCAUGGCUACCUUAGAGCACCCUAAAAUGUGCUAACAGCCAUUGUUAGCAUUCAGGAGCUGUUUAUUCCCAUUUUCACACUACACUAAAGAAUUUUAAACAAUCACAAGAUAGACUGGCUGGAAGUUGGUGCUUGGAACAUCCCAUGUCACCUAAAAGCACAGUGCUGCAAUCUCAGAAACCCCAGGCUCAGCCAGCAGAGAGAGGAGAAGCAGCUGGACAUUGGAGACUAUGAUUGGACAUUAGAGAGAAGGAGCUUGACUUCACAGAGAAAGCAUGAUGGAAUAAUUUCAGAGAAAAGUCUGGCCAGGGAUGACCAGACUUCAGGGGAAGAUAAUCUUGCUCAAUAUCCUUUUCUGCUCCCCUUCCUGCUGAGAGUCACUUUGAUUGGCAAUAAAAUAUCUCACAUUUACCAUCUUCAAUUUGUUCUUGCAACCUCAUUCCUCCUGGAUGCCAGACAAGAACUCAGGUGCCAUGAGUAUGGGUGCAAAAGGCUAUCACACUGUCCCUCCACUGAGCUGUUAACACUUAAGCUAUCCAUGGACAGCAAAGCUAAAAGGGCACUGUAAGAGUCCUUCUGGGGUUUCAGAAGUCAUGAGCAUCCCCCAGAUGCUGCCAUGGGGCCAGUACAGAGUUUGCUCCUGCCAGGGUCCAAAAAUGUCUCAGCUCCUGCACCCAGUCACCUGCAUGCUCCCCCUCCCACAAGUGGUGGAGCACAGUGGGCUGAGUGAGUGGAGUUUGCCCCUGCCAGCACCCGUGCACUCCAGUUCCCACCUGUGAAGGUGUCAGAGAGAGAUUCUGCUUCAAAAUCAGAGCGACUCCAUGUUAAAUAGCAGCUGGGUGAGAUAAGGCUGAGACCUACUGGGCUGCAUUCCCAGGAGGUUAGGCAUUCUAACCUUCUAUCAGGAUGAGAUAGAAGGCCAGCAUAAGAUAUAGGUCACGAAGACUCUGCUGAUAAAACAGGAUGUGGUUUAAAAAAAUGCCAGCCAGAACCCACCAAAACCAAGAUGGUGAUGCUCAUUCUCACUGCUCAUUAUAUGCCAGUAUAAUGCAUUUGCAUGCAAAAAGACUCUACCACCAGUGCCAUGACAGCUUACAGAUGCCAUGGCAAGAUCUGGAAGUUACCCUGUAGCCUCUAAAAUGGGGAAGAACCCUCAGUUCUGGAAAAUUUCUGCCCCUUUCCUGAAAAACUCAUGAAUAAUCUACCCUUUGUUUAGCAUAUAAUCAAGAAACAACUAUAAGUAUAGUCAAUCGAGCAGCCAAUCUCACCGCUCUGUCUAUGGAGUAGUCAUUCUUUUGUUUCUUUACAUCUCUAAUAAAAUUGCUUUCAC